ACGCCGUAAACGCUGAGUGCUAGGUGUUAGGUCCUUUCCGGGACUUAGUGCCGACGCUAACGCAUUAAGCACUCCGCCUGGGGAGUACGACCGCAAGGUUGAAACUCAAAGGAAUUGACGGGGGCCCGCACAAGCGGUGGAGCAUGUGGUUUAAUUCGAAGCAACGCGAAGAACCUUACCAGGUCUUGACAUCCCGAUGCCCGCUCUAGAGAUAGAGUUUUACUUUUUGUACAUCGGAGACAGGUGGUGCAUGGUUGUCGUCAGCUCGUGUCGUGAGAUGUUGGGUUANNNNNNNCAACGAGCGCAACCCUUAUUGUUAGUUGCCAUCAUUAAGUUGGGCACUCUAGCGAGACUGCCGGUAAUAAGCCGGAGGAAGGUGGGGAUGACGUCAAAUCAUCAUGCCCCUUAUGACCUGGGCUACACACGUGCUACAAUGGUUGGUACAACGAGUCGCAAGCCGGUGACGGCAAGCUAAUCUCUGAAAGCCAAUCUCAGUUCGGAUUGUAGGCUGCAACUCGCCUACAUGAAGUCGGAAUCGCUAGUAAUCGCGGAUCAGCACGCCGCGGUGAAUACGUUCCCGGGCCUUGUNC
Molecule: ribosomal RNA, 590 nt
Filed under: uncultured bacterium
Lineage: Bacteria
Description: bacterial SSU rRNA
Rfam family: Bacterial small subunit ribosomal RNA
Source: RNAcentral